AUGGCACCCUGCAGCAGAGCACCACGGCGACCAUCACCUGCGCCUCCCCGAGCAGGAACUCCGCCUUCCCUGCACCCGUGCUUCGCUGACCAGAGGCGUCGUCCUCGACCGUCGCCAGCACCGCUGCCCCGCCUACGUCCUCGACCUCCUACCUCCACGGGCUGUCAAGUUUCGGGAGCUGCUGCUGCUGUUUUGCUUUUGCUACUGCAUCUCCGGCCAUCUGCAGGCGAUCGCGCCCGGUGCCUGCGAUGCCUGCUGCUGCCGCUGUUUUCUUUCCCUUUCGAACGAAUGAGCAGCGCCUUCGGGGUUUUUUGCAAAGUUCUUUUCCAUAGGCCUCUCCAAGACCAGGAUACGCCAAGAACCGUUCGUGGUUUUCAUCAAGUUCGAGCGACGUUGAAUGAGGGUUUCUGCCUUGCUCAUUUUGGGACGCGACAAGUUCCUCUUCGAAAGUACGUCUACAUGAUGACCUGA
Molecule: ribosomal RNA, 471 nt
Filed under: Triticum aestivum (bread wheat)
Lineage: Eukaryota; Viridiplantae; Streptophyta; Magnoliopsida; Poales; Poaceae
Description: partial small subunit ribosomal RNA
Source: RNAcentral